UACAGAGGGUGCAAGCGUUGUUCGGAAUUACUGGGCGUAAAGCGCACGUAGGCGGCUUUGUAAGUUAGAGGUGAAAGCCCGGGGCUCAACCCCGGAAUUGCCUUUAAGACUGCAUCGCUUGAAUCCGGGAGAGGUGAGUGGAAUUCCGAGUGUAGAGGUGAAAUUCGUAGAUAUUCGGAAGAACACCCGUGGCUAAGGCGGCUCUCUAGUACGGUACUGACGCUGAGACGCGAAAGCGUGGGGAGCGAACAGG
This 253-nucleotide ribosomal RNA is filed under the name uncultured bacterium. Its description in RNAcentral is "partial 16S ribosomal RNA". It matches the Rfam family "Bacterial small subunit ribosomal RNA", at positions 524 to 776 of the family's 1533-position model. The record is from RNAcentral.